This 3685-nucleotide long non-coding RNA is filed under the name Homo sapiens (human). Its description in RNAcentral is "HSALNT0178819". Lineage: Eukaryota; Metazoa; Chordata; Mammalia; Primates; Hominidae. The record is from RNAcentral.
GCUUGAUGUUCUCCCGGGACAUCCAGGUCUCCCUCACCCAGUUUGAACACAUUAAUUGGCAGAAGUUUCCCCUGUGAUCUUCCAGUACAACAUUCUUCCUGCAGCCACACCUGACCAGUGGGAGGACUGACUAAAUUCUUCAUCCUCUCCAUCCCAUGCCUUUACGUCUGCUGUGUCUCCCACGUGUUCGUGGAUCGUGCCUGAGGCUGGGACAGACAACUCACAACCAUGAAGAAAAGGCAAAGAGAAUCACAAAGAUGCCAGCCCAACGCUGGGAAGCUACUAGCCUACACCAAUGCUAACAACCAUCCAUUUAUGACUUCUUGUCAUGUGAGGAGAAUGAACCUUCUGUGUGAAUGUCACUUGACUAAGAACAAAUAACAACAAAAGAACUCACCUACGUUCCUUCUAACUAAAGGAUGUGUUUAUUAUUUCCCCUUUCUAACACCACACUCCACAGAACUACUUAUCUACAUUUAUUUAACAAGGCACAUAACUUACAGGUGCCGUAGGAAAGAAGGAAGGAAUGAAGACAACAAAGCAGGAAGGCAGGCAGGAAGAAAAACACCUAUAAAAUCAAGGGCAGUAGAAACCACAGAAGAAAGCCAGAAAACCAGCCAGAUAGAUGGCUGCUGAAACAAUUCAAGAGAGACAUGAUGAUCUACUAUAAUGGCGGUGGAGAACAGAUAGAAGGCUGGUGAGCAGGUGCUCAGGGAGUCUGUCUUCUAUGGUUACAGAGAAUGCUCCUGCAAUGGUCCUGGAAACCACCCACAGCUAAACCCAGAUAAGAAGUCUGUGGCUCAGAGAGACAAAGAGUUUUUUUUAAAAACACACAGCAAACAAGAAGCGGAAUCAGGAUUUGACUCUGUAUCCAACUGACACCCAAACACCAAAUUUUCCAUCAUCUAUGCUUGUUGAAGUUUUUAAUGUAAUAUUCACUCAAUUCCUUUUUAAUAUGCAAGAACUCACAGAAACCCACACAGCCUCCAUAGGAGAACUGGUAUUUAAGCAGUCUCUGCAAAAUCAUAAUAAGGAGGAGGUAAAAGACCAUUCCACUGAAGAGGAGAUGGAAAAAAAGGAGUUUUAGAAAUCUCUCUGCAUGAAUAGAGGAUCUGUUAUUAAAGGCUAUUUUAGGAAGCAAGAAUGGAAGAAUCUGCUCCUCUCCUUUCCCAUUUCCUGGUUCUUGCAUAUCCAUCAAGGAAUCCAUCCAAUGGGCCCUUUGACACAGCUGGGAUAAUGCAGGAAAUCAGCAUUAUUCUUAGCUUACUGAAUGAAUGAUAUGGUGAAGACUCAAAAGCAGAGUCUCCAAGGGAAAUUUAAAAAAGCAUGGAAGUUUUAGGUGGGAGAAUGAAUGACUCAGCAUGCAUGUUAGAAGACUUUCAAGUAUUUGGAGGGUUCUCAUUUGGAAGGUGUAAAACCAGGACAACAACUCUGAAGAAGAUUAGAUUUCCUCUUAGGGUUCAUAUGUAGAAAUCACCAAGAAACAAGAUUCUUCAGAACUGACAUGAGAGAAGAACUUCCUCAAUCACAUGGUGGAAGGCAAUGAGCUGCCUGUAACGGGAAAUACUCCAAUAAAGGUGGUGUGACCACUUGGUGGAGAUGUUGUAGAGAAAAUUCAAGAACUGUAAAGGCCUUUAAAAUCCCUGACAUCGCAGGCUCCUCUGAUUCUGGGAGCUGCACUGAAUCCAAAUGAAUAAUACUAAAACCAUAUUUACCAUAGUCAUUAUCAUGUCUCUAGACAUCUGAGGAGAUGGAUGUUGUCUUUACUGUUUAGAUGGGAGCAUCUAGUCAGGAAUAGAAUCCAAUCACACUAGGAACCAAAUGGACUAGCCACUGAGGUAUAGCAAAUCAGAGUCCCUUAGGGGAGAAGAUGAGUCAUAGAUCAUAAUCCUCACUGGUGUUGUUACAGUCUUCCUGCGCUACAUAGCAUUGAAAUAGGCUGGAAAUGUUCUGUCCUUGGGGUGAUAAAAUAUUCCUUGGUAAGCACACAGAUUCAUUUUCCUAAAGCAAAUGAAUCACUUGUGCUUUUCUUCUCAUAUUUUUUAUCAACAGGGUAAGAACCCUGCCUGUGAAAAAAUCUGUCUAAAAAAUAAGUGUAUAUUUCAAGAGGGACUAUACAAAGAGUAAACACAUGGCAGGUCUCAUGCCAGAGGUCAAACCAGGUUCAACAUAUUUGCAUAUUUUGAUGGGAGCUGUAGAAUAAGGACUACCAAAAUGUACACUUGUUGUGUCAACCCUAAGGGUCUAAAUUUGAACACAAACGGCUUUAGGUAUUGAAGGGAAAACUGUUGCCCAAAGUAUGAAUUCUAUCUAAUAACUCAAUCCUCUAUUGUUUCCCUCUUGGGGUUUAGUAUGCCCACACUGAGAUUUGAAUGCUAAAUCUAGGUCAAACAGAAAUUUGCUCAAGUAUUCCCAGUUCUGAGGACUCGGAAGCUGCUCUGAAAACACUUGUGCUGAAUGACGGCAUUUUACAGAGGCAAUAUGCACUGCAUCUAUUCUUUGAAAAAAUUUUUUUGAGUUCUUUCUCUAUGUCAAGUAUUCUGCUGGGCCUAGGAAUGGGGAGGAUGAGGUAUGGGCCCUUCCUUCAACUAGCUCAUAAUGGUGUGCAGACAGAUUUACAGUGAUAUAAUUCAGUGUUUUUAGUGCUGCAAGAGAGGUAUUUAUAAUGAACAAUGGUUAUGUAAAGAAAGGAAAAAUUGACCAUUUGCUCUGUGUAUUUGGGGGGAAGGUGAGGUUUGUAGGAAAAAGUUUAUCAAAAGAGUUAACAUGUAACCUGUAAGCUGGAUGUUGAAGUUUAUCCUUUCUUAUAUAGGUGAAAGAUGGGACAGUAUUCCAGAGAGAAGGAGGAGAAUAUGCAAAUGUGCCAUUUGUGGAAAAGUGUAUAUAUUUAGGAAAAUGUUAAUAUGGCUAGUCCAUGGGGUUGUACAGGAGACGGGGCUGGGAAGUAGGAGAGGAGAGUGAGUGAUUUUUUUUUACAAACAUGAUCCUUUGGCUAUGGGGAAGAAAAACAAAUACAAAAAGGUUUUAAAGAGGAAAGAGACAUGAUCAGGUUUUAUGAUUUAUAAAUGUAUGUGUCCAUACAGGGAGACUGGAUUGCAAGGGAAAAAAUGGAAUCUGGAAGCAUGAUUAAAAGUUGAUUACAAAAUUUAUAAGUUGGGUAAAAUCUAGUGGUGGUAAGCCUAUGGAGAAACAGAUAUUCUCAUACACUUUUGGUAGAAACGUAAAUUGGUAUAACUUUUUGGAAGACAAUUUGCUAACAUGUAGCAACUUCACUUUUAGCAUUUAUCUUAUAGAUAUAUUCACACACACACAAUGUGACAUUUAGUUGACAACCUAAAUGUCCAUCAAUAGGGAACUACAUUUAUACAAUGUAAUAGGCUGAAAUCAUAAAAGCAGAAUGAGGUGGAGAUUUACAUAUAGAUAUGGAAAAAUGGUGAAGGUCUAUAGUUAAGGGAAAAGUAUGAUUUGCAGUACAGGUUAUAGACAAACAGAUUGGCAGACAGAUAGACAUAAAAUUGGUAACCAUCGUGUUAAAAAUAACUAGAAAAGCUAAGUCAAAACAAACAAACAAAAAUAUAGUUUGAAGGAAGUGGAGACCUUCCAAGUCAUUGAAAAAUUAUAGGUCUAAGAUCCUGGAAAACAAAGAGAUUGGGAGAAACAAGCCUGGUAUUUGAAGUAGCUUUUU